UACGUAGGGUCCGAGCGUUGUCCGGAAUUACUGGGCGUAAAGAGCUCGUAGGUGGUUUGUCGCGUUGUUCGUGAAAACUCACAGCUCAACUGUGGGCGUGCGGGCGAUACGGGCAGACUGGAGUACUGAAGGGGAGACUGGAAUUCCUGGUGUAGCGGUGGAAUGCGCAGAUAUCAGGAGGAACACCGGUGGCGAAGGCGGGUCUCUGGGCAGUAACUGACGCUGAGGAGCGAAAGCGUGGGGAGCGAACAGG
Molecule: ribosomal RNA, 253 nt
Filed under: uncultured bacterium
Lineage: Bacteria
Description: partial 16S ribosomal RNA
Rfam family: Bacterial small subunit ribosomal RNA
Source: RNAcentral